RNAcentral lists this ribosomal RNA (496 nucleotides) under uncultured bacterium. RNAcentral's name for it is "partial 16S ribosomal RNA". It matches the Rfam family "Bacterial small subunit ribosomal RNA", at positions 28 to 507 of the family's 1533-position model. The record is from RNAcentral.
GAUGAACGCUGGCGGCGUGCCUAAUACAUGCAAGUCGAGCGAACAGAUGAGGAGCUUGCUCCUCUGACGUUAGCGGCGGACGGGUGAGUAACACGUGGUUAACCUACCUCUAAGACUGGGAUACCUUCGGGAAACCGGAGCUAAUACCGGAUAAUAUAUUGAACCGCAUGGUUCAAUAGUGAAAGACGGUUUUGCUGUCACUUAUAGAUGGACCCGCGCCGCAUUAGCUAGUUGGUAAGGUAACGGCUUACCAAGCCAACGAUGCGUAGCCGACCUGAGAGGGUGAUCGGCCACACUGGAGCGAGGACGCGGUCCAACCUCCUGCGUGAGGCAGCGGCAGGAAUCCUACCGCAAUGAGCAAAGGCGUGACGGGGAAACGCGGCGUGAGUGAGAAAGAGCUUCGGAGCGUAAAUCAUUGUUGUUGGGAGGAACAAAUGUGUAAGUAACUAUGCACGUCUUGACGGUACCGAAUCAGAAAGCCACGGCUAACUACGUG